This 468-nucleotide ribosomal RNA is filed under the name uncultured bacterium. RNAcentral's name for it is "partial 16S ribosomal RNA". It matches the Rfam family "Bacterial small subunit ribosomal RNA", at positions 28 to 507 of the family's 1533-position model. The record is from RNAcentral.
GACGAACGCUGGCGGCGUGCUUAACACAUGCAAGUCGAACGGAAAGGCGCUGCUCUUGCGGGGUGCUCGUGUGGCGAACGGGGGAGUAACACGUGAGUAACCCGCCCUUGACUUAGGGAUAAAUUCAGGAAACUGGGGCGCUUAUCGGGGAGAAGAUCCUGAACCACGGGGGGGGAUGGAAAGUUUCGGCCGUAUGGGAUGGACUAGAGGCUUAUGCGCUGCUUAGGGAGGUAGUGGCAUACCAAGGCUUUGACGGGUAGCCGGCCUGAGAGGGUGACCGGCGACAUGGGGACUGCGAGACGGCGCAGACUGCUAUGGGCGGCAGCGGUCGGGAGUAUUGCGCAGUGAGCGGAAGCCUGAUACAGCAACGCCCGGUGCGGGAUAACCGGCUAUGGGUUGAGAACCACUGUCGCAUGUGACGAAGCGUGAGUGACGGUACUGGGUAAGGAAGCACCGGCUAACUACGUG